UCCCAUAUAAACUUGAAAGUAUUUGCGAUAGAAAGAUACGGAGCUACAAAAAUUCCAAAUCGGUUAGGAGAUGACUUGUUCGUUCUCUCAUCUUGUUACUCUUCGACUUGUGGAUUGUGAACAUUGUUUUUCAAUGCCAGCAUUGGCACAGCUACCAUCUCUCAGAAGGCUUGACACUGAUGGGUUAAAUGGAGUGGAAUUGUUCCUCUUUUCUUAUUGUGUCUUACGGUGGUUCUAUUAUACGACAGUUUGUUGUAUCGAACUAGUCUUCGGUGAAAAAGGAGCUUCAACAAGUCUAUGAGCUCUAGUUUUCGAAUUUCCUUUUUCAAGUUUGUUUCCAAAUUAUGUCUAUUGAGAGGUAGAUUUUGGUACUUUGUAGAAUUCGAAUUCAAAUGUUUGGUUUGUAAAAUAUGGAUGAUGAUUUCAUUUCUGUGGAACUGUGAAUCUAUGAUCAUGCUUGAAUGUUGUCAGACCAUUAUCUAUUCUAAAAUUGAGGAGGGAUUUGACUGUAGCUUAGCUACAGUCAAAUGAUUGACCCUCGAUUUUGCUUUAUUUACAUCACUACCAUUAUAUCUCUGGCUGGGUUGGAAGGGUAAUUAUUACAACUUAGAAGGGUAAUUUUGUCCGUGGGUUUGAACCGAAUUUCACUUUUAUUUACAAAAUUGCCACCGCCUUUUCCUUCCCUCUUUCUCUCUCCCGACUCUCUCUCGGUAACCAUCCAUCAAAUCCCCAUCCUUCCCUUUUCUCACUCUGUAAGUCUCAUUUCCUACAACCCUAGAGCACCGUUUCUCUCUCAUUUCUCUCAAAUUUGACUCAGGGAGAGAGAGGGAAGGGGGACAGAAGGGUUGACAGGUUGGAGGGAGAGGAUCGUCGGGAUUAGGGGAGAGGAUUUUCGGCAGGGAGGUAUGGGUUUAGGGAGAGAGAGAGUAAGGGAGAAGUAUGGGGUAGGCGGAUUUCCAGGGAUUUCUUUUCACCCCUUCACUCACCACGAACCCACCUUUCCCUUCUUUUCUUCCGUCCUCAAAUCUUCUGAUUUCCCUCUCACAAAAUACCCACCAAGGAAACCCUACUUUUGGUUUAUUUUGGGAUUUUGUUUGCGCUCUCGAUUUUCAGACGACGGGCCAAUUGGUUGAUAUUUGGAUUUCUUCUCCUUUUGUCGAAACGCACAAAUUUUGUUUCGGUGGGAUUGGUCUCGAAUAGCUGCGUGUGUCUACCUUUCCAAGGUAUGGUGUUCACCGAUGGCAUGUUUUAGUGUGUUUCUGUUUUUUUUUUCUUUGUUUUGUAUUUCUAAUUUAUCGUUUGCUGCUUGACAAUGGUGAUUGUAUGUUUUAGUUUGGAUGUUUUUCUGAUUUUGGUUUGGUCAGUUUUUUUGGGCUGCUUGAGAAAAUGUGAUCCCAUGUUUUGACUGAGUGAAAUAAUUAAUAGAUAAAAAGAGUGGAGAAUUAGUGUCAAGAGUAGUGAUGGAAAAAAUGAGGAAAAAAAUAUAGAUGUGGAAGAAAAAGGGGGGGGGGCUGGAAAUCGAGCAAGGUGAAGAGAAAAAAAAUAGGGGUUAAGUGAGCAGCCAAAAGAGAAAAAAAAUGAGGGGAAAAGGCUUAAUUUGGGGAGUGGGCAAAAGAGAAAAGCAAGGGAAGGGAGACAGAACAGGAACAAGGUGUGGUUUUGUUGUUGGUUUUAUCCAAAUUUUUGAUUUGGCAUUGGUUUGAAGCUUAUGUGUUAUUAGUAUAGUCUAAUUUAGUGUUGGUUUAUCUAGGUUUGUAGCUAAUUUAAUGUUAAUGUUGAUCUAGGCGUUUUAAUUUGUUGUGAACUUAUAUGAGUUUCGUUUUUUAAUUGUUAUUUUACAGUUGCUAGGGAUGACUUUGGCUUUUAUAUUGGUUUGGGUAUUUUUUUUUUUCAUUUGAAGAUUUAGUGUCAUUAUACACCUUUGCACCACUGUUUGUUCUGUUUUUCUCGGUUUCUGUAUAUAGUUUUGGUACAAUUGGACUGUUCUUUUUAACUUAAUUAAAGUUUUUGAGACUUAAUUGAAUGAAAGUUUAGUGUGUGUUUUGGACUAAUGGUUUUGUGUUGUUAUGUGGGUUUGUGAAGAUGGAUGGAUGUGUGGCUCGGUUGCAGGAGCUGCAGUACACAGUUUCGGGCGGUACGAAGGUGAUCUCAGGAGUGAGUCUCAGCCCUGGGAGUUCUAGAGGUUAUCUCAGGGCUAGCCUCCGAUGCAAACAAGAAACUGCAAGGUAAUUGAGAAUCUGAUUUUAAUUUGAUUUGUACAAACCAGGAACAAAAAAUCCCAGCUUUUGCUUGAAUUUGAAGUUUUUGAUUUUGAUAUUGGAACUGAAAUGGGUCUUUUGAUUUAUGCAGGAUUAAAGGCUCAGCCCCUAGAAAAUCUCCUGUUGGCAAGUUUCCAGCAAAGGCAGGAGGUAUCUCCCUCUCUCUCUCUCUCUCCCUAAAAUCAUAGACGUAUGGCCAAAUGUGUUUUUUGACAAGAAAGUUUAUCCUUCACUUUUUUUCAAAGAACAAAAUUGAGUUUAGAUUCAAAAUCUGAACCUUUUGUUUUUGAAAAUACGACAUUCUAAACAACAGAAGCUCAUUACUUUUUGUUUUUUAAUAAAGCCAUUACCAGUUUCUGAAUUGAUUCUACAUUUUACUCUGUUUUUAUGCCUAAUACCGUUUGUUUUCCAUUGGGUAGCUGUAUAAGUUUUCCAUAAGCUUCGAUCAUCUCCCCAAUAAACCCAGAGCCUCCUUCUCUCCCGCUAAGCAAAAGAAAAUCAAGGAGGCCUGCAACUUCGUUUGCAGUCCGCCACUGCAAAUCAGUCUGGAAACUGGAUUCAAAGGUAAAACACACCGAUGUCUUUGAUUUUGGUCUCUACUGCACAGUUUGACAGACAAAUGAUAAACCUAACACAUGCAUGCUUUGAUUUCCUUGGUAGGUCAUAUUUUUCACUUUCUGGAUGUGCAAAGUCUGGAUAGUACACAUCACCGGACCAAACCUUUAUCAGGUAAGGAAUUCCAUCGCGUUUGUUGAAAAUAUUUGCUUCCUUUCCUCUCAUGUAUGUGUAUGUAUGAUUGUAUGUGUGUGAUUUUAGAUUGUAAUGCAUCACAAAUUUGUGGCAUAAAAAUUGACAUUUGUAGACUUACCCUUUGUUUGGUGACUGUGAUAAUUGAGAGAAAGGAAAAUAAAAUUUCGAAGAUUGAUGCUUUUAUGUGAUUUCUUGGCUCUUUUUUUCAUAUGAUUUUCAUUGUAUGUGUGCCAGUGUAUGUCUCUUCUUGAAAAAUACAUGUUGAAAAUGGGAGAAAAUUUUGGACAUGACACGUUUAGAAGUGAGGUUUUUCUGAAUGAAGACACUUUUAUGAUUUGUUUGUAAUUUGUUUUGCAAAUGGGUAGGAAUGUCAUUCUAAAAGGAUAUUGGCAGGAGAGGGUGGAAUGUCAUUCUAAAAUAUGUGUAAUUCAAUUCUCUCAUUUUCUAUAGCAGAAUUGCGGAUUUCUAAAUCGAAAAGGAGAAAUAAACACUACAGCAGUUUAUGCAGAAGGAGCAUGUAAAAGAGAAGCACAGGUAAAGGUUUAUGAGGUCAGUUUGCUGUUUUCUUUUUAGUGUUUUCAAUUUGUUCCUUUUAGUCUGGCUGCAAUUUUUUAAUCUCUGGUUAUGCAUCAAUUUCUCUGCUUCUUUGUAAAUCUUGCAGGUGAGGACAACACACUUAUCGGGGCAAUGUCGGGAUGUUUAGGCUUGGGUGGAGACAUGGACUUAUGGAAGAGGUGAAGUAGCUUAGGUUUCUGUCAUUAGCUUUAUCUGUUCUAUGCAUCUCUGCAAUCUUACAAUGCUCCUUUAUUUAAUUGCAAGAUGUUGGGGACCGGUUACUGGAAUACAAGAUUUGGAACAAAAGUGGUUGACAAUGCAAGAGUCGAAAGCAAGUGUGAAAUUCACAUUGAAAAUGACAGGUGAGAAUGCUAAUCAUAUUCUAAAAAAAUGUUGGGUUUCCUGAUGAGUUCUCUAGCUGAAUUCAAGAGGCUAAAUUAGUGAUUUGGAGUUAAUUUUGUAAAUUUAUUGAAUAAAGUUAUUUGUUAUUUAGCUUAUCUUGCGUUUGGUUUGGUUUUAGGAGAGGGUUACGCAUGAUCCGUAGCUUCAUUCAACCUCGCUGUUUUCGUUAGAAUCACAAUUAAAGGUCAGUUUUUCCAACAUUUUUUUUGCUUUUUGCUGCAUGUUUGUGCAUGUUUGGUCUCUGAGAUUUUGUUUUUAGUCACUGUUGAUUUGUAGUUUAUGUCUUCCUUUAGCUACAUAUUGACACAUGUUUAUUCUCAGCAUUUUUUUGUUAUGGUAAGUGGUUUGGGGAGUUCUGUAUUAUUAUAUAAUCUUUGGGGCUAUUUUAAGUAAAAAUGAAAUGUUGACAUUGAUAUAGCAUACGGCACACUUAAUUCACACUCCUAUAUUCGGUUUUCAUGUUUCCAUUGCAACACUCUGCAUUUCCGAGCCAAUGAAUUUUUUGAUAAAGAUGUACUUAAAGCAAUUACAUGCUCUAUCAAGUAUGUUUUAUAUGUGGUUGUGGUAGUUGCAAGGAAAUGAAAUAUUUGUGCUGAUAAUUGGUAGUUUAAAUAUAUAGAAAUAGAGAAGAAUUAUAAAUGGAGCACCUAGGAUAUUUAACAUUGUUUUCUUUUCCAUGUAUUUUUUCUCAUGUUUAAUAUCUGCUUUUGCUUAUGCAUAUGAUUCAAGUGCUAUUUUUAUUAGUGUUAAUUUUGGGUUGCAUAUCAACAAACUAACCCAGUUAAUUUUGCUUAGUGUUCAUGUAUAACGAGAACUCUCAUUGCAUCAACUUGAACAAACAUUCUUCUACUUAGUUGCUUAGCUGCUGCAACAAGAACGAAACACUUUUUAUGUGUUUUUGUUUAACUGCUAAAACAGGUGAUUGGCCUCCAGGACAUAUAUUUUGCCAUCUUAACUUUAAAGGCAAUACAUAUGUAAAAUGCAUGUUGCUUAGGGAAACAGAGCAUUUUUUGCAACCACAUCUUUUGUAAUCAGCUUAGUUGAAUGUAUAUAAAAGUUAAGCUACUUAUCUUACCUACACCGAUCACUCAUCUAUCAUUUUUGUUCGUUCAUGAUUAUGUUGAAUUUUUUUUCAGGUUAAAUGUGUCUUAUUCAUGUAGUUAAGGAUGGUGCAUUCAAGUCCCGCAGCAACGCGCGGGCAUUUUUCUAGUAGUAUCGAAAACCCUCUGUUGUUUACCAAUCGAUCUCAAGCGGUCUAGAUUCGAUUUGUUUAAUUAGUACUGCAAGAUGAUCUUAUCUACUAAUCAUGUCUUAUCAAAUGAUUACCAUUUCAUCAUGCCCUUAGGGAUGCAUAGAGCUUCAAAAGUUUUCAAGUUGCUGCGCAUGUGUAGGUUUGAAGUCGUGCAAUGAUAUGUACGCGAAACUUAUGAGCAAACAAAAGCAAACAACUCUUAUACAUAAAUGUCGGCUGCCAGAAAAUCUCAGUAGUACCAGAGAAGAUAAGCUUGUAAUAAAUUUCUAAUUCUCAAAACAGAGCAAACAAGAGAAACAAGAUCUACAUAUAAGUACCCCUAGUUGGCCGGCACACAGGAUUUCUUUUACGAGCAUGUUCUUCAUUAUGGUGCUGUGUCCGACAUGCAUAUCCAUACCAGCAAUUUUCCCUGUUUGAUGCCUCUGUGGGUAGAUGAUAUUUGGGAAUCGAAAUCCGAAACCAGUACAAGAGGAAGGAGAUCAGCUUCUCAUAACAGUAAUUGCACGUAGGUGUCCCAGAAGUUAUUGCCUCAGCAUGAUUCAGGGGCAUCCUCGUUCGAUCAAUUUCUCUGUUGUUCAACUUUGCAAGCCAUUCUGCAAUAACAUCCUGUGAUGUUCUCCCCAACUGUACAGUACACUUCUCAGUGAUCACUUGUUCAUGUCGAUUGUUUUCAUGAGUUGAAGUAGGGAUUCCAGAGAUGGUCCAUUCUGAGAUUGGUUUAAAAGUCUCGCGACUGCACACAUGGUGAGAAUCACUUUGUGAAACCCCUUGCGCAUGCCAAUAUAAACUGCAAAAUGCCUUAUCACAUCCUAAACAGUGUUGAGGUACACUUAUUGGUGCACGAAGGCAUCAUUCCUCCGCAUGCUUGACAUUGCAGAUGGAUAGUGGUUUGAUUGCAGCGGAACGCACCAUAUUCAGUACCACAUUGAGGGCAUGGAUUUGAUGGAUUAUGAGCUUCUUCAUCCACCUGGGAGCGAGCCCUUUUUCUGCGAAGAUGUUUUCCAGAGUUUACGACAAUAUUAGAUUGUAUUGUUGCAUAAGAGUCUAAAAUUGCCACUUCAUCAUUGGUGCGUUUUAGUGAAUAGAAGAGAACAAGAUCUCUGAGCAAACUACAAUCUCAUAUGAAAUAAUUUCAACAUCCGGAUAUCUCAAGUCUGAUGGAACGAGCUUGGCCCAGAAUUCUUCACAGGGUUUUGCACCCGAGCUCUCUCCAACUUCUGCCAUCCCUUGAAUAUAUUCACAAAGGACCCAGAAACCAUUAAUUUAGAUCUCAAAGAUAAGUAACCGGCCAUUGUUAUGUUCAUUUAAAAAGAAACAAGUACUUAUAUAUUCAACUAUUUAUGAGCAACAGAGCAAUUUUAAUUUCUAAUUAUCGAACAAAAUCUUUACCGCUAAUUAGAUAAUUCAUCCAAGUACGAAAAGAAAACAGAUUUGCACUCAAACAAGACAGAUUCAUGAAAUAUGCUAUGGUAACGCCCCUAACAUUUCAACACCGAUAAACAUAUCAACUUCAUGUUUCAGACAUCCUACAACUACAUAUAUUAGAUCGUAACAAUUCCAACUAAAUGUAAAAGCUCUUAAAGACCUAGUUUGGGAGUGAGGUGCUUAAAAAAAAAACACCUAUGAAAAAAAGCUGUGAGGGUUUUAGGUGUUUGGUAAACUGAAAAAAAAGGGCUUAUUUUGGAAGCUGCUGUGAGAAUAAGCUGAAAUCAAAGGAAAAAGCUGAAGUUGCUAUUUGCAGCUUUGGAAAACUGGCUUUUUUUCAAAGCACACGGAGCUACAAUGCUCCUUUAAUGAAAAGACCCACUAUCAGACUGAUUUUCUUUCCAAAAGCACUUUUACAAAAAAGUUUACCAAACGCUCUGUUGAUUUAUUUCACAGCCGCUUAUUCUCACAGCACAGCCGCUUAUUCUCACAGCAGUUUUUUUUCAAAGCACAGCAAUACCAAACCACUCAAAGCAUAACGACAUACUAGCAAAAUUCAUGGAAGAUAGUAAGUGCCAAUUAACAAGAGAGUCAAAAAGGCUUGAGGAGAAGGGGUCCCCAGCAGCGGCAUCAUUUCUGGCCGGAAAAGGUUCAUUCUAGUAAUAUAAUUUAUACCACAGAACACAUACAAACAGAUUUAAGGAGACACAAUUGUCAUUCUAAAAGAGACACUUUCUCAAUUCUUGAAUUAAAACCUGGACUCCAAGAUUGCAAAACCACAGAAUGUGGUCCCCUUUACAAAAAUGUAUAUCAUGUUUACUCUAUGUUCAUAGUUUGAACCUUCGUUUAUGCAAUCUCGCUCUUGUUUUUGUUCUCUUGUAUGACCUAAUUUUCACACAAUUCUCACCGGAAAACCAAUAGAAAUAUUUAUGAAAAUUGAUAGGUCUCACUUGGAAAUUGUUUCAAAAACCCUAACAACAAAAAUGAAAAGUUUGCAACUUUGGCCAAUAAACAAUCAAACGUGAAAAGAAUUUGAAACUUAUCUAUUUCUAAACACGUUUAUAACAUCUUAAGAGACGCGCAAUGUUGGUGAUAAAAAAGAUCAUUCACAUGCGGAUAAUAAUGUGAUUAAAUUAAUUGUCAAAUGACUGUUUUUUUUAAACGAUAUUAUCGAUACUAAGGGGGAGAGGUGUGUUUAGCCUCACAAUGGGCUAGCAACAAUGUGAUUCAAUCAGUUGUUUAUUAAAUAUUAUUUUAUCUAUUUUAAACACGUUCAAAAUAUCUUAAGAGGCAUGUAAUGCUGGUUAUAAAAAAAGUAUUUCGCACGAGGAUAAUAAUGUGAUUAAAUUAGUUGUUAAAUGAUUUUUUUUAACAAACGAUAUUAUUUACACUAAUGGAGAGGGGUGGGCUUAGUCUCACAAUGAGCUAGCAAUAAUGUGAUUCAAUCAAUUAUUUAUUAAAUAUUAUUUUCUCUAUUCUUAAUGUAAAUUCUAUAGAGACCGAUUUUAUUAUGUGAAUUCAGCUGGUUUAAUUGGUUUAUGAAGGGUUUCUUCUAGCAUGAUCUAAGAUUAUUCAUUUACUUCAAAUAUUUAACUUUCAUUUUGUCAAUUUACACACAAUAUAUACAUUUAAAAAACGUGUAAGUCGUGUAUAGCACGUCGUGAUUCAAAAAAUAUCCUCUGCACGUGCGUAAGCAUAUGCACGGAGGCUAGUAUAUACUAAAGUGGAAUGAGAAAAACAUUGUUCAUAAGAAACAAUGUUUUGACGUUUUUGCCCUCAUUUUUAGUGUUUCUGUGUUCCUAGUUUUUGUGCUGUUGAAAUCCCCACAUUACCAUAUAGGCAUACGUGUGUACGGAAAAAUGUUUUUCACGCGUGGCAUAAGGAAAUUUUCUCUGCAGCACCGUGUUAUUCCCCUGGGAGUCUGCAGCACCGCUCAACCAAAUUUUCUCUCAUUCCGUACUUCUCCACCUCUUCAAUCGUGCUGCACCGUGAAUCGAAACAAAAAACUGCUCUUCCAAAUCAAUUUCAGUUAACUCAAAUCCCUAAAACCCAAAUUUCUCCAGACCAUUGGAAUCAGUUUGCCUUUGUUGUUGCUAAUCUACAGGUAAAGCUUAAAUUUACAUACAAUUUUUAAUUUUUCUUGAUUGGAAUUUGGAAAGAAUUACAGAAAAUUGGCGAUGUCCACCGAGUCGGAUGCGUGGUGGAGACUCGGAUGCUCGCUUCCCUGACGUCACUACGCAUCGAUAAACGCACAUCAUUUCCGACUACGUCACUUCUUUCUCUCGCCUCCUUUUCAUGGUUAGCUCCUCCUCCGUAUUUACUCAACGCCUAAUUUUGGCCUUUUUUUCUUCCUUCACUGAUUUGUUCUAGAGAUCGCAGAUUGUUGAGUCAGAGAAGAGGUACAUUUCCAUUUGGGGUUUUUUCCCAAUUGAUUGAUGCUGUAUUAAUUUGGAAUUUGCCCAAUUGGGGUUUGAGAUUUUUGGUUUAUAUGGUUGUUUUGAACUUUUGAGAAAACCCUUAUUUGUUUUAUUUUUUAAGAAAAUUAAUGAAAAUGAUUUGAAAUCUUUGAAUUUUAGAAUAAGAACAAAAUAAAGGGUAAAGGGAACAAUAGCAAGAUUGACUUUUUAGUGUAAAAAUGUAAUUUUUCGUUAAAGUGAACAAUAUCGAGUAUUUUUUGUUCUUUAAGAGGGGAAUAAUGAUAUGAUCUGUAAUUAGUGAUUAGCUUAAUCACUUAUUCUUGGGAUUAUUAGGCUUAUUCAUGUUUUAGUGGAGUUUGUUAUAACUGCUAGCUGGCAUGAGGAGUCAUGACUGGUAUAAGAGCACUAGUUCUGAGUAUUGUAAUCAGAUCAGAAUUUACAACAAAGAAAAUAAAUACAAAAAUAUUUGGAGCUCUGCUCCUUCAUCUCUCCUUCCCUCUUCUUCCAUAGCUUUCUUGUGCUACUUGCAGGUUGAUUAAGGGAAUUGAGAAUUGGGUCUUAUCAUAGUGGAUCUUGACGAGCGGGCGGGCGGGCGGGCGAGCGAGCCAAGACUUAGUGGUUUAAGCUGGAGAGGUUUAUUUGGAAGAACCAAAGCCGUUUGAGCCGAUGCUGUAGCAGAUUGAACCGGUUCUACGCAGACCUCGCCAAAUCUCAGCCAUCAGAUUGCUGUCCGGACGAUCGCACACUUUGUCCGCAACUUAGACACGCCCUUGCAGUUAUAGCACCAAGGUGGGCCUGGGAGCAAACGGCUGAGAAGAAUUGAACAGAAAUUGGGCCAAACAGGAGCAAAGCGCUGCGCCAGUUGCUGUGGAAGGGAAUGUUGCUGAUGAUGCUGGACUGGGCCCGCAUAAUUCAAGGGCUGCGCUAGAUGCUCAAGCUGCUCGGCAGAGGGAUGCCAGGUUCCACGACCAACACCGCGUGAAUUAUUGUUAAAAUUUCCAUUUGCAAAGAAAAGAUUGAUCAUGGCGUUGAAGAUUUUUGCUUCUGCAGAUCCUCCUGGGUCUUUGAUUAGUUGUUAUACAUUCUCUUAACUCUGUCACAAAAUUUCCAUUUGCAAAGAAAAGAUUGAUCAUGGCGUUGACGGUGGUAGGUGGGGCCGCUCUCUCGGGUUUCUUCCAGCAAGUAUUUGUGAAGUUGGAUUCUCAGGAGGUCAGGAACUUCAUCAGAGGAAAGAAACUGACUGAUGGGUUGCUCAAGAAGUUGAGGAUCAAGUUGAUGUCUGUCAGUGCUGUUUAUGAUGAUGCCGAGCAAAAGCAAUUACGUAACCCACAUGUGAGGCUGUGGCUGCACGAGCUUAAAGAGGCCGUCCUUGAUGCUGAGGACCUACUGGACGAGAUCAAGACAGAAGCGUUGAGGCGGAAAAUUGAAGCUGAAUUUGGAAGUAGCACAAGCAAGGUACAAGACCUCAUCUCUGCUUCUUUCCAUGCUUUUGAUGAGUCUGUAGACACCAAGAUAGAGGAAAUUCUUGAGAGGCUAAGCUUCAUUGUAGAACAAAGAGAUGCCCUUGAUUUGAAAAGAGGUAGUAGACACAAAAUCUCACAAACAUUGCUUUCAACUUCUUUAGUAGAAGGCUCUGAUGUGUAUGGAAGAGAUCGUGAGAAGGAAACCAUCAUUCAACUAUUGUUAUCAAAUGAUGUCACUUGUAGUAAGAUUGGCAUUAUUCCCAUUGUGGGCAUGGGUGGGAUCGGAAAGACCACCCUUGCUCAGCUCUUAUACAAUGAUGAUAGAGUGCAGCAGCAUUUUGAGCUCCAGGCAUGGGUUUGUGUUUCUGAUGAAUUUGACGUUGUUAAGAUCACACAAACAAUUUAUGCAUCAGUCACUUCACGAACCUGUGAUGACCUAAACCAGCUUCAGGUCAAACUCAAAGAUGCUUUGGCGGGGAAGAAGUUUCUUUUUGUUCUUGAUGACGUUUGGAAUGAGAAUUACAAUAUUUGGGAAUCCUUAAGGCGCCCCUUCGAGUCUGGAGCUCAUGGAAGUAAGAUCAUUGUCACCGCAAGGAAUGGUGGUGUUGCAUCUACGAUGGGUACUCUUCAAACCCACUAUUUAAAGCACUUACUUGAGGAAGACUGUUGGUCUUUAUUUGCAAACCAUGCCUUCAAAGAUGCAAGUGUUAUUGUAGAUCCAAAUCUGGAGGUAAUUGGAAGACAAAUUGUGAGCAAGUGUAAAGGCCUUCCUUUAGCUGCAAAAUCGCUCAGUGGUCUCUUACGCUCUGAAUCAAAUGUGGAGGAAUGGGAAAAUGUGCUCAAAAGUGACAUAUGGGAGUUGUCAGAUGCAAAGAUUGACAUUUUGCCGGCUCUAUGGCUAAGCUACCAGUACUUGUCUCCGGAGCUAAAGCGUUGUUUUGCUUAUUGUUCGACAUUUCCCAAAGAUUAUUUAUUUGACAAGUCUAAAUUAAUUUUGUUGUGGAUGGCCGAAGAUCUUAUACAACCCCAAAAGAAGACUAGGUUGGAAGAUGUUGGAAAGAAAUACUUUGAUGAUCUAAUCUCACGGUCAUUUUUUCAAUACUCGUCUUCAAAUGAUUGUUUCAUCAUGCAUGAUCUGAUGCAUGAUUUGGCGACUUACGUAUCUGGAGAAUUUUGCAUUAGAUUGGAAGACCACAACUUCUCAUUGGACGUUGUGAGCAAGGGUCGUCAUUUUUCUUAUAUGCAAUAUUCAUCUAAUGUUGAUUAUGAGAGAUUUGACACUAUUUAUGAAGCUAAGUAUCUGCGCACCUUCAUUCUUGGCAAUCACUUUCCAUCGCCGAAAGUACGACUUGAUCUCCUUUUAGUGCUACAUUGUUUAAGAGUUCUCAAACUACGUGGGCAUGAUAUCACGGAGUUGCCUGAUUCGAUUAGCAACUUGAAGCAUCUACGGUACCUUGACUUGUGGUUCACUCCAAUCCAGAAAUUACCUGACACCGUAUGCAGUUUGUAUAAUUUACAAACGUUGUUGUUGUCAAAUUGUAUAUAUCUAGCUGAGUUGCCCACCGAUUUGAGAAGACUUAUCAACUUGCGCCAUCUUGAUUUCAGAGGUACAAAAUUAAAAAUGAUGCCCCCCCACAUGGGCAAGUUGAAAGAUCUCCAAACAUUUGAAGGUGAGUUUGUCUUGAGCAAAGAUGCCGGGGGAAACAUUGAUGAGUUAAAGGGGUUUCAGCAUUUGAGUGGAAAUCUUCAUGUGUCAGGGCUUCAAAAUAUCAAACGUGCUGAGGAUGCUUUGGAGGCCAAACUGAGGGACAAGAAGCUUAGUGACAUACGUUUGAAAUGGGAAGGUGACACUAUCGAUUCUGAAAACGAUAGCCGAGUGCUGGGCAACCUGCACCCCAAUACAAACCUAAAAGUACUGGUUAUAGAAGGAUACGGAGGUACAAAGUUUCCAGGUUGGUUAGGAGAUGAGUCUUUCUCUAACCUCGUCACUAUCCGACUUGAGACUUGUGGAUAUUGUUUCUCCUUGCCAGCAUUGGGGCAGUUACCCUCCCUCAAAAGGCUUGAAAUUUAUGGGUUAAAUGGAGUGGAAUCAGUGGGGUCUGAGUUUUAUGGGGGAAUUAAACCUGCAUUUAAAUCUCUAGAGUUUCUGAGUUUCUGCAGUAUGCGGGAAUGGCAAGAGUGGUGUUUCCCUGGAGGUGAAGAAGAAGAAGGCGGACAUUUUCCUAAUCUUUGCGAGCUUAGUCUGGAGAACUGUCCCAAACUAACGGGGAAAAUACCGUUAUACUACUUCCCAAGACUUGAGCGGCGUACGUUUGGAGGAAGUUAAUAUCGAAUCCCUUGCUUGUUCGCAAGAAUGCAAUAAAUUCAAUAUUGAACUCCCAUCCCUCCGUGAGUUGAAAAUAUCAGAUUGCCCGAAUCUGGUAUGUUUUGUGGGUGGUGGAGUGCUGCUUGCGCCCAACUUGGAGGAGAUAACUAUUUGCCAUUUUAAGAACUUGUGGUCAGUGCCCGAAGAUAUGCAAAUCUCGCUCCCAUCUCUUCCGUCUCUGUCCAUACAAGGGUGUAAAGAAUUUAAAUCAUUUCCGGAAGAAUCUAAAUUCCCAUCCCUCGUUGUUUUGAAGAUACAGGGAUGCCCAGAAUUUGUGGGUUUCCCCCAUGGAGGAGGACUGCAAGCGCCCAACUUGAAGGAGAUGGAAAUCAAAGAAUGUAACAAAUUCAGGUCACUGCCAGAGGAGAUGCAAAUCUCUCUCCCAUCUCUCGAGUCUCUGUGUAUAAGGGAUUGUCCAGAAUUGGAAUCAUUUUCGGAAGGGGGAUUGCCGUCUAAAUUGCGUUUUCUCAGUAUCUGGAGUUGUAAAGAACUGAUGGCAAACCGUAUGCGGUGGGGUCUACAAACACUCACCUCUCUCAAAUACUUGGAUGUCAGCUUCAGAGGAUGUGAAGAUGAAGAAAUUGGCGAAUCAUUUCCAGAAGAGGGGCUGCUGCCAACCACUCUCACUUCUCUCGGAAUCUACAAUCAUCCGAAUCUGAAAACCAUUGACGGCAAGGCGUUAAGACACCUCAUCUCUCUCGAGAAGUUGGAGAUUUAUUAUUGUCCUCAACUCCAGAGCUUGCCAGAUGAAGGGCUACCCACUUCUCUUUCUCGUCUAGAUAUCUUCCCAGUGUGAUUGCUAAAACAACGGUGCCAGAGAGACACGGAAGAAGAUUGGGCCAAGAUUUCUACAUUCCCAACAUAACGAUUUCUGGCCGAAAGAUAUGAUUUGCAAUGGUACGUAAUUCGUCAACGUGCGUUUAUGUGUUUAUUUACGAUCUGGCUGUGAAAAAUUUAAAUCAUAAACAUGUUUCAAAUGUUAAUAUUCUCGUAAUAACAAAUUUUACAGGUACUCCAGUCCCAUAUAAACAUGAAAGUAUUUGCGAUAGAAACAUACGGAGCUACAAAAAUUCCAGAUGACUCGUUCAUUCUCUCAUCUUGUUACUCUUCGACAUGUGGAUUGUGAAUAUUGUUUUUCAAUGCCAGCAUUGGCACAGCUACCAUCUCUCAGAAGGCUUGAAACUGAUGGGUUAAAUGGAGUGGAAUUGUUCCUCG
RNAcentral lists this long non-coding RNA (14102 nucleotides) under Malus domestica (apple). RNAcentral's name for it is "long non-coding RNA (MDOM_LNC018685)". The record is from RNAcentral. Lineage: Eukaryota; Viridiplantae; Streptophyta; Magnoliopsida; Rosales; Rosaceae.